RNAcentral lists this ribosomal RNA (371 nucleotides) under uncultured organism. RNAcentral's name for it is "partial 16S ribosomal RNA". It matches the Rfam family "Bacterial small subunit ribosomal RNA", at positions 527 to 896 of the family's 1533-position model. The record is from RNAcentral.
GUAGGUGGCAAGCGUUGUCCGGAAUUAUUGGGCGUAAAGCGCGCGCAGGCGGUUCUUUAAGUCUGAUGUGAAAGCCCACGGCUCAACCGUGGAGGGUCAUUGGAAACUGGAGAACUUGAGUACAGAAGAGGAAAGCGGAAUUCCACGUGUAGCGGUGAAAUGCGUAGAGAUGUGGAGGAACACCAGUGGCGAAGGCGGCUUUCUGGUCUGUAACUGACGCUGAGGCGCGAAAGCGUGGGAGCAAACAGGAUUAGAUACCCUGGUAGUCCACGCCGUAAACGAUGAGUGCUAAGUGUUAGGGGGUUUCCGCCCCCCUUAGUGCUGCAGCUAACGCAUUAAGCACUCCGCCUGGGAGUACGGCCGCAAGGCUG